This 545-nucleotide ribosomal RNA is filed under the name uncultured bacterium. RNAcentral's name for it is "SSU rRNA". It matches the Rfam family "Bacterial small subunit ribosomal RNA", at positions 242 to 804 of the family's 1533-position model. The record is from RNAcentral.
CAGCUAGUUGGUGGGGUAAGAGCCUACCAAGGCGACGAUCGGUAGCUGGUCUGAGAGGACGAUCAGCCACACUGGGAUUGAGAACGGCCCAGACUCUUACGGGGGGCAGCAGUGAGGAAUUUUCCGCAAUGGAGGAAACUCUGACGGAGCAACGCCGCGUGCAGGAGGACGCUUUUCGGAGUGUAAACUGCUUUUCUGUGGGAAGAGGAAGGACGGUACCACAGGAAGAAGCCCCGGCUAACUACGUGCCAGCAGCCGCGGUAAUACGUAGGGGGCGAGCGUUGUCCGGAGUUACUGGGCGUAAAGGGCAUGCAGGCGGUCGGACGCGUUUUGUGUGACAGCGGGUGGCUUAACUACCCGAGUAUGCGAAAGACGGUUUGACUUGAGGGCUCGAGAGGGACACGGAAUUCCGGGUGGAGUGGUGAAAUGCGUAGAGAUCCGGAGGAACACCGAAGGCGAAGGCAGUGUCCUGGCGAGUGACUGACGCUGGGGUGCGAAAGCUAGGGGAGCGAACGGGAUUAGAUACCCCGGUAGUCCUAGCCGUA